Molecule: long non-coding RNA, 558 nt
Organism: Ctenocephalides felis (cat flea)
Lineage: Eukaryota; Metazoa; Arthropoda; Insecta; Siphonaptera; Pulicidae
Exons: 3
Source: RefSeq, a predicted model, not a curated record
AAACAAGGAUGGAGAAUAGAAAAUUACUGCUUCGAUAUGUUAAACUUCAUGUUGUCCGAAUGCAGCACAGGAUUCUAAUUUUUAAGGAAGAAAUAACAUAUAUUUAUUGACAACAUUAUUGAUGUGUUCACUGAGUAUAGUAUUGAUAUGUGAAGCAGAAUUCUUGAAUCAACAUCGUUAUCAAUUUCAAAAAGAUUCGAACACAAAGCUGUUAAAUGAAGAGAUGACCCCAUGAUAUUCAUGAAUACAUCAUAUUCUAAUAUUGUCUAAGCCCAUGAGAACUUCUUCUGACAGAACCACAUUAAACUAAUGUCAUGAAAUGCCACUGCAGUAUGAUUUCGAAGCAGCUGCUAUACAAUGUUUAUAUUACCAACUGGCUAAUGGUGCUAACUUAUUUGGAUUAUCGAAUCCUACAGAAUUAAACUUUUAUAUAAAGCAUGAUACAUGUUCGUUAAAAUGAUUAAAUUACAAUGGAGCAAAUUUGAAGUAAGUUUUAAUAGACAAUGUUCUUAAUUAAUUAAUCAAUGACCUAUAUAUAAGCGAAUUAGCUUAAGUAAA